UGACCUCAGAUCAGGA
This 16-nucleotide ribosomal RNA is filed under the name Trichuris sp. Senegal. RNAcentral's name for it is "partial 28S ribosomal RNA". The record is from RNAcentral. Lineage: Eukaryota; Metazoa; Nematoda; Enoplea; Trichinellida; Trichuridae.